GGGGAUGUAGCUCAGUGGUAGAGCACUUGCUUAACAUGUGAAAGGCCCUGAGUACGAGCCCCAAUAUGCCCA
Molecule: transfer RNA, 72 nt
Filed under: Cavia porcellus (domestic guinea pig)
Lineage: Eukaryota; Metazoa; Chordata; Mammalia; Rodentia; Caviidae
Rfam family: tRNA
About the family: Transfer RNA (tRNA) molecules are approximately 80 nucleotides in length.
Source: Rfam by way of RNAcentral